AGUGAACGCUGGCGGUAGGCCUAACACAUGCAAGUCGAACGGCAGCACAGUAAGAGCUUGCUCUUACGGGUGGCGAGUGGCGGACGGGUGAGGAAUACAUCGGAAUCUACUUUUUCGUGGGGGAUAACGUAGGGAAACUUACGCUAAUACCGCAUACGACCUACGGGUGAAAGCAGGGGAUCUUCGGACCUUGCGCGAUUGAAUGAGCCGAUGUCGGAUUAGCUAGUUGGCGGGGUAAAGGCCCACCAAGGCGACGAUCCGUAGCUGGUCUGAGAGGAUGAUCAGCCACACUGGAGCUGAGACACGGUCCAGACUCCUACGGGAGGCAGCAGUGGGGAAUAUUGGACAAUGGGCGCAAGCCUGAUCCAGCCAUGCCGCGUGGGUGAAGAAGGCCUUCGGGUUGUAAAGCCCUUUUGUUGAGAAAGAAAAGCAGCAGGUUAAUACCCCGCUGUUCUGACGGUACCCAAAGAAUAAGCACCGGCUAACUUCGUG
Molecule: ribosomal RNA, 492 nt
Filed under: uncultured bacterium
Lineage: Bacteria
Description: partial 16S ribosomal RNA
Rfam family: Bacterial small subunit ribosomal RNA
Source: RNAcentral